CUACGGGCCGCUCCAGUGGGGAAUAUUGGACAAUGGGGGAAACCCUGAUCCAGCAAUGCCGCGUGUGUGAAGAAGGCCUGCGGGUUGUAAAGCACUUUCGGUUGGGAGGACUGCUUCUAGCACUAAUAUUGUUGGAAGUUGACGUUACCUUCAGAAGAAGCACCGGCUAACUCCGUGCCAGCAGCCGCGGUAAUACGGAGGGUGCAUGCGUUAAUCGGAAUUACUGGGCGUAAAGCGCGCGUAGGCGGCUAGAUCAGUCGGGUGUGAAAGCCCCGGGCUUAACCUGGGAACUGCAUCCGAUACUGUCUAGCUUGAGUACAGGAGAGGGGAGUGGAAUUCCACAUGUAGCGGUGAAAUGCGUAGAUAUGUGGAGGAACACCAAUGGCGAAGGCAGCUCUCUGGCCUGAUACUGACGCUGAGGUGCGAAAGCGUGGGGAGCAAACAGGAUUAGAUACCCUCGUAGUC
Molecule: ribosomal RNA, 465 nt
Filed under: uncultured bacterium
Lineage: Bacteria
Description: partial 16S ribosomal RNA
Rfam family: Bacterial small subunit ribosomal RNA
Source: RNAcentral